This 305-nucleotide ribosomal RNA is filed under the name uncultured Planctomycetota bacterium. RNAcentral's name for it is "bacterial SSU rRNA". It matches the Rfam family "Bacterial small subunit ribosomal RNA", at positions 29 to 351 of the family's 1533-position model. Lineage: Bacteria; Pseudomonadati; Planctomycetota. The record is from RNAcentral.
AAUGAACGUUGGCGGCGUGGAUUAGGCAUGCAAGUCGAGCGCGAACCCAGCAAUGGGUGAAAGCGGCGGAAGGGACAGGAGUGCGUAGAUUACGUGCCCUUGGGACUGGAAUAGCUGCGGGAAACUGCAGGUAAUGCCAGAUAAUAUCUCCGGAUCAAAGGUGUGAUUCCGCCCAAGGAGCGGUCUACGUCCUAUUAGUUAGUUGGUGGGGUAAUGGCCUACCAAGACUUUGAUGGGUAGCGGGUGUGAGAGCAUGACCCGCGUCACUGGGACUGAGACACUGCCCAGACACCUACGGGUGGCUG